Molecule: ribosomal RNA, 464 nt
Filed under: uncultured bacterium
Lineage: Bacteria
Description: partial 16S ribosomal RNA
Rfam family: Bacterial small subunit ribosomal RNA
Source: RNAcentral
CUACGGGUUGCUGCAGUGGGGAAUAUUGCACAAUGGGCGCAAGCCUGAUGCAGCCAUGCCGCGUGUAUGAAGAAGGCCUUCGGGUUGUAAAGUACUUUCAGCGGGGAGGAAGGGAGUAAAGUUAAUACCUUUGCUCAUUGACGUUACCCGCAGAAGAAGCACCGGCUAACUCCGUGCCAGCAGCCGCGGUAAUACGGAGGGUGCAAGCGUUAAGCGGAAUUACUGGGCGUAAAGCGCACGCAGGCGGUUUGUUAAGUCAGAUGUGAAAUCCCCGGGCUCAACCUGGGAACUGCAUCUGAUACUGGCAAGCUCGAGUCUCGUAGAGGGGGGUAGAAUUCCAGGUGUAGCGGUGAAAUGCGUAGAGAUCUGGAGGAAUACCGGUGGCGAAGGCGGCCCCCUGGACGAAGACUGACGCUCAGGUGCGAAAGCGUGGGGAGCAAACAGGAUUAGAUACCCCAGUAGUC